RNAcentral lists this ribosomal RNA (300 nucleotides) under uncultured Alteromonadaceae bacterium. Its description in RNAcentral is "bacterial SSU rRNA". It matches the Rfam family "Bacterial small subunit ribosomal RNA", at positions 114 to 415 of the family's 1533-position model. Lineage: Bacteria; Pseudomonadati; Pseudomonadota; Gammaproteobacteria; Alteromonadales; Alteromonadaceae. The record is from RNAcentral.
CGCGUGGGAAUCUACCCAGUAGUGGGGGACAACAGUUGGAAACGACUGCUAAUACCGCAUACGCCCUAAGGGGGAAAGCAGGGGACUCUUCGGAGCCUUGUGCUAUUGGAUGAGCCCGCGUGAGAUUAGAUAGUUGGUGAGGUAAUGGCUCACCAAGUCUACGAUCUCUAGCUGGUCUGAGAGGAUGAUCAGCCACACUGGAACUGAGACACGGUCCAGACUCCUACGGGAGGCAGCAGUGGGGAAUAUUGCACAAUGGGCGAAAGCCUGAUGCAGCCAUGCCGCGUGUGUGAAGAAGGC